Molecule: non-coding RNA, 511 nt
Organism: Hydra vulgaris (swiftwater hydra)
Lineage: Eukaryota; Metazoa; Cnidaria; Hydrozoa; Anthoathecata; Hydridae
Source: RefSeq, a predicted model, not a curated record
UUUAAUACAAAUGUAGAAGAAACUUUCAAGCGUAAAAGAACUUUCAAAUGUAAAGUUACAUUUUUUUAUGGCAUCUCGAAAUAAUGAAUGAAGAGUGACUAAUAGACAGAUCCUUCGAAUUAGAUAGUCUGUGAUUCAAAAUUAUGAUAAAGUCAAUGAUAAAUCUUUAAGUUUUACAUAGGUUAAUGUAAGUAUUAUUUUUUCUUGUAAUAAUUAUCUUUAAAGUUAUUUUAAUUAUAUAGGUUUUUUUUCUUUUUAAACUUAUUUGUUUAAUACUCCACAAUACUCAAAACUGCUACCUCAUCAGUUCAGCAAGAAAAAAAGAUCAUUUAAGAUUUCCCUUUCGAAGGACAAGGUUUAAGACUGUUUACCUGAUUCCUACGGCAAAAAAGAACUUUAAAAUGCUGUUGCCAAUAAUCUAAAGCCCACACCUGAUCUAAAAGAAGGUGAAUGACGUCAAGUGUUCGAACAGUCGAUUUUUGAAAAUUAACAAGUGGAUGAAGAUGUUUAA